ACUACUUUCAGCAAAUCUUCGGUCCACACGGCAGUGGUGGGAAGCGGGAGGCCAGAGUGAGGGAGAGAUAAAGGGGCUCCUUCACAGAGGCCCCAGCUUCCAGGAAGAAGAACACACUGCCAGCACUUCCUGUUUGUCUAGUCACAUCUUUCUUGCUUCACCAACAUCCCUGAGGAUUCUGGGUGGAGACCCCCUGCCUGGGCUUCAUAGACUUCCCUAGAGAUGGCCCCACAGAACGAUGGAGGACACCAUCCCAGGCCCUUAAGGGCCUGGAGGACCUGGAGAGCCGCGCAUGCCAGGUGGACCCUGCAGAAGAAACCAAAGGAACAAGAUGGAGAGUCCGAGGCCCCACAGUAACCUGUGUUACAGUACCUGCUUCCAUCCAGCUCCCUGAGGCUGCAGAUGGGAGAAGACUGCUGAUGUCAAAGCAGAACCAUUUAGCUGAUGUUAAAAUGGCCUUUCAUUCAGUUCAUUCAGUCAUCCAACAAACAUUUAUUGAGCAGCUAUUAUG
Molecule: long non-coding RNA, 511 nt
Organism: Peromyscus eremicus (cactus mouse)
Lineage: Eukaryota; Metazoa; Chordata; Mammalia; Rodentia; Cricetidae
Exons: 3
Source: RefSeq, a predicted model, not a curated record